Molecule: microRNA precursor, 195 nt
Filed under: Puccinia graminis f. sp. tritici CRL 75-36-700-3
Lineage: Eukaryota; Fungi; Basidiomycota; Pucciniomycetes; Pucciniales; Pucciniaceae
Description: microRNA MIR807
Source: RNAcentral
UUCCAGUUGAUGAGGUAUAACAACCUCAUCAGCCGGAAGGGAUUCCUUCCAGCUGAUGAGGUAUAACAACCUCAUUGGCCGGAAGGGAUCAUUUCUGGCAAUGAGGUAAGGUUCCCCUUGAUGAGAUUGAAGUACCACAUCGACAGGAAGGAAUCCCUUCCAGCCAAUGAGGUUGAUAUACCUCAUUGACAGGAA